ACGGAAGGUCCAGGCGUUAUCCGGAUUUAUUGGGUUUAAAGGGAGCGUAGGCCGCUUGGUAAGCGGGCAGUGAAAUGCAGAGGCUCAACCUCUGACUUGCUGUUCGAACUGCCGGGCUUGAGUACGCACGAGGUAGGCGGAAUUUGUGGUGGAGCGGUGAAAUGCUUAGAUACCACAAAGAACGCCAAUUGCGAAGGCAGCUUACCGGAGCGCAACUGACGCUUAAGCUCGUAAGUGCGGGUAAAGAACAG
Molecule: ribosomal RNA, 251 nt
Filed under: uncultured prokaryote
Description: partial 16S rRNA
Rfam family: Bacterial small subunit ribosomal RNA
Source: RNAcentral